This 84-nucleotide transfer RNA is filed under the name Echinostoma caproni. It matches the Rfam family "tRNA". From Rfam's summary of the family: Transfer RNA (tRNA) molecules are approximately 80 nucleotides in length. The record is from Rfam by way of RNAcentral. Lineage: Eukaryota; Metazoa; Platyhelminthes; Trematoda; Plagiorchiida; Echinostomatidae.
GGCCUCGUAGCUGAGCUGGUAGAGCGUGCGCUGUACAAAAGCGCAGACGGCGUCCAUGAGUGGGUUCAAAUCCCACCGAAGCUA